GUCUGACCUGCCCAAUGUUAAAAUUAAUGGCCGCGGUAUUUUGACCGUGCGAAGGUAGCAUAAUGAAUAGUCUAUUAAAUGUGGUCUGGAAUGAAGGGUUUUACGAGGAAUAACUUUUUUAAUUUUAUUUUUGAAUUUUAAUUAUUAGUGAAAAUGCUAAUGUGAUUUAGGGGGACGAGAAGACCCUGUAGAGCUUUAUAUAUUAAAAAUUUUGGUAGUAUUUAUGUUUUAAAUUAUAUUUUGUUGGGGCGACAGAAAUUUAGAAUCAUUUUCUUAUUAUUAUUCUAUGAUUAUAGAUUAUUUGAUCCAUUAAUAGUGAUUAACAGACUCAGUUACCUUAGGGAUAACAGCGUAAUUUUAUUUUAGAGUUCUUAUCGAUAAUAAAGUUUGCGACCUCGAUGUUGGAUUAGGAUUCUUUUAGGGUGCAACCAUUUUAAAAAGUAGUCUGUUCGACUAUUAAAAUCUUACAUGAUCUGAG
RNAcentral lists this ribosomal RNA (478 nucleotides) under Digitipes cf. coonoorensis JJ-2011. RNAcentral's name for it is "partial 16S ribosomal RNA". It matches the Rfam family "Bacterial large subunit ribosomal RNA", at positions 1852 to 2609 of the family's 2925-position model. The record is from RNAcentral. Lineage: Eukaryota; Metazoa; Arthropoda; Chilopoda; Scolopendromorpha; Scolopendridae.